Long non-coding RNA from Copidosoma floridanum, 101 nucleotides. Lineage: Eukaryota; Metazoa; Arthropoda; Insecta; Hymenoptera; Encyrtidae. The record is from RefSeq and is a predicted model, not a curated record.
ACUGACCUAUAAGAUUCUUUUUCCGUAGUAAGAGCACAUGAACUACGUGCUACGUGUCUACGUUGCUCAUAAGUUCUAAAAUUUCAAAAACCAAAAAUGAU